Molecule: ribosomal RNA, 461 nt
Filed under: uncultured bacterium
Lineage: Bacteria
Description: partial 16S ribosomal RNA
Rfam family: Bacterial small subunit ribosomal RNA
Source: RNAcentral
AACGAACGCUGGCGGCAUGCCUAAUACAUGCAAGUCGAACGGAAGGUGGUGUUUACAUCAUCUUUAGUGGCAAACGGGUGAGUAACGCGUGGGAAUCUGCCCUUUGGUAGGGGAUAACUAGGGGAAACUCUAGCUAAUACCUUAUAGGAUUGGUGACAAUGAAAGAUUUAUCGCCAAAGGAUGAGCCUGCGUCAGAUUAGGUAGUUGGUGGGGUAAAGGCCUACCAAGCCUGUGAUCUGUAGCUGAUUUGAGAGAAUGAUCAGCCACACUGGGAGUGAGAUACGGCCCAGACUCCUACGGGAGGCAGCAGUAGGGAAUAUUGGACAAUGGGGGAAACCCUGAUCCAGCAAUGCCGCGUGAAUGAAGAAGGCCUUCGGGUUGUAAAGUUCUUUUGUCCGGGAAGAUAAUGACUGUACCGGAAGAAUAAGCCCCGGCAAACUUCGUGCCAGCCGCCGCGGUAA